RNAcentral lists this ribosomal RNA (254 nucleotides) under uncultured bacterium. Its description in RNAcentral is "partial 16S ribosomal RNA". It matches the Rfam family "Bacterial small subunit ribosomal RNA", at positions 524 to 776 of the family's 1533-position model. The record is from RNAcentral.
UACGUAGGGGCCUAGCGUUGUCCGGAUUUAUUGGGCGUAAAGAGCUCGUAGGCGGUUCGGUAAGUCAGGUGUGAAAUCUCCACGCUCAACGUGGAGGCGCCACCUGAAACUGCCGUGACUCGAGUCCGGUAGGGGAGUGUGGAAUUCCUGGUGUAGCGGUGAAAUGCGCAGAUAUCAGGAGGAACACCGGUGGCGAAGGCGGAUCUCUGGGCCUUACCUGACGCUGAGGCGCGAAAGCUAGGGGAGCGAACAGG